RNAcentral lists this ribosomal RNA (253 nucleotides) under uncultured bacterium. RNAcentral's name for it is "partial 16S ribosomal RNA". It matches the Rfam family "Bacterial small subunit ribosomal RNA", at positions 524 to 776 of the family's 1533-position model. The record is from RNAcentral.
UACGUAGGCCUCGAGCGUUAUCCGGAUUUAUUGGGCGUAAAGAGCAUGUAGGAGGCUUUCUAAGUCUUUGGUUAAAGACCACCGCCUAACGGUGGGAAUGCUGAGGAUACUGGGAAGCUGGAGGAGGUUAGAGGUGCAUAGAACGCAUGGUGUAGGGGUGAAAUCCGUUGAUAUCAUGCGGAAUACCAAAGGCGAAGGCAGUGCACUGGGACCUUCCUGACUCUGAGAUGCGAAAGCGUGGGGAGCAAAAAGG